AAGAGCCGCAGUAUACUGACUGUGCUAAGGUAGCAAAAUAAUUUGUCUUUUAAUUAAAGACUUGCAUGAAAGAUUUGACGAGAGACCCACUUUCUUUCUUUUUUCUAAAAAUUGACAUUUAAGUAAAAAGGCUUAAAUAUACCAACAAGACGACAAGACCCUAUAAAACUUUCAUUCUUCAGAUUUAUUCUAUCCCCAGAACACACUAUAAACUCUUAAGAAUUUUACUGGGGCGGUGUUUAUAUAAUUUCUACCUAUACUAAUCACAACAUUUAUUUAUGAAUAAAUAAAUCUUUAAUUUUGCAUAAUACCAAGUUACUUUAGGGAUAACAGCAUAAUAUUUUUUAAGAGCCCAAAUCGACAAAAAUGAUUAUGACCUCGAUGUUGAAUUGGGAUUCCUUUUAAAAGC
This 409-nucleotide ribosomal RNA is filed under the name Eremisopus beei. RNAcentral describes it as "partial 16S ribosomal RNA". It matches the Rfam family "Bacterial large subunit ribosomal RNA", at positions 1926 to 2617 of the family's 2925-position model. The record is from RNAcentral. Lineage: Eukaryota; Metazoa; Arthropoda; Malacostraca; Isopoda; Amphisopidae.